RNAcentral lists this long non-coding RNA (451 nucleotides) under Setaria viridis. RNAcentral describes it as "long non-coding RNA (SVIR_LNC010973)". The record is from RNAcentral. Lineage: Eukaryota; Viridiplantae; Streptophyta; Magnoliopsida; Poales; Poaceae.
UGCAUAACUUGUACACAUAUGCUGCUUGCUAUCACAUUGAGCAUUGUCAAAUUGUUGUAACCCUUGAGAGGUUAUCGUCAUGCUUUCAUGAUCAAGAUCACAUACACUCCACAUAUUUUUCAUACUGACUUCUAUGUUGGAAGUUACGCAAAAACAUGCCUUUCAUCCACAUAAAUAUAUUGCAUUCCUAUGACAUGACUCCCCUCUAUUCAUCAUGCAAAAAGAUAUAGGCUAUGUAAAAAGAAGAAAAAGAGAAAAGAAAUAAAAUCCAUACUGAAAUGCAUGAGAGAAAAAAAAAGAGGGAGAAGAGAAUAGAAAGAAAAGAUGUAAAAGAAAGAAAAGAUAGCCCAUAUCCAAAAGAAAUAAAACAGGAAAGUCAUGCAAAAAGGAGUUCAAAUAAAAUUCCUCCAAAAAUUCCACACACAUGCAUCUCUCUAUCGGAUUGUAUGAC